AACGAACGCUGGCGGCAGGCUUAACACAUGCAAGUCGAGCGCCUCGCAAGGGGGAGCGGCAGACGGGUGAGUAACGCGUGGGAAUGUACCCUUCUCUACGGAAUAACACAGAGAAAUUUGUGCUAAUACCGUAUACGCCCUUCGGGGGAAAGAUUUAUCGGGGAAGGAUCAGCCCGCGUAGGAUUAGCUAGUUGGUGUGGUAAUGGCGCACCAAGGCGACGAUCCUUAGCUGGUCUGAGAGGAUGAUCAGCCACACUGGGACUGAGACACGGCCCAGACUCCUACGGGAGGCAGCAGUGGGGAAUAUUGGACAAUGGGCGCAAGCCUGAUCCAGCCAUGCCGCGUGAGUGAUGAAGGCCUUAGGGUUGUAAAGCUCUUUCACCCACGACGAUAAUGACGGUAGUGGGAGAAGAAGCCCCGGCUAACUUCGUG
This 432-nucleotide ribosomal RNA is filed under the name uncultured bacterium. RNAcentral's name for it is "bacterial SSU rRNA". It matches the Rfam family "Bacterial small subunit ribosomal RNA", at positions 29 to 507 of the family's 1533-position model. The record is from RNAcentral.